UACAUAGGGGGCAAGCGUUGUCCGGAAUCAUUGGGCGUAAAGAGCGUGUAGGCGGCCAGAUAAGUCGGCUGUGAAAUCUCGAGGCUCAACUUCGAGCUGUCGGUGGAAACUGGCUGGCUAGAGUCCGGAAGAGGAGAAUGGAAUUCCUGGUGUAGCGGUGAAAUGCGCAGAUAUCAGGAAGAACACCCGUGGCGAAGGCGGUUCUCUGGGACGGUACUGACGCUGAGACGCGAAAGCGUGGGGAGCGAACAGG
Molecule: ribosomal RNA, 253 nt
Filed under: uncultured bacterium
Lineage: Bacteria
Description: partial 16S ribosomal RNA
Rfam family: Bacterial small subunit ribosomal RNA
Source: RNAcentral